AUUGAACGCUGGCGGCAUGCCUUACACAUGCAAGUCGAACGGCAGCAUGAUCUAGCUUGCUAGAUUGAUGGCGAGUGGCGAACGGGUGAGUAGUACAUCGGAACGUGCCCUGUAGUGGGGGAUAACUAGUCGAAAGAUUAGCUAAUACCGCAUACGACCUGAGGGUGAAAGUGGGGGACCGCAAGGCCUCAUGCUAUAGGAGCGGCCGAUGUCUGAUUAGCUAGUUGGUGAGGUAAAGGCUCACCAAGGCGACGAUCAGUAGCUGGUCUGAGAGGACGAUCAGCCACACUGGGACUGAGACACGGCCCAGACUCCUACGGGAGGCAGCAGUGGGGAAUUUUGGACAAUGGGCGAAAGCCUGAUCCAGCAAUGCCGCGUGUGUGAAGAAGACCUUCGGGUUGUAAAGCACUUUUGUCCGGAAAGAAAUGGCUCUGGUUAAUACCUGGGGUCGAUGACGGUACCGGAAGAAUAAGGACCGGCUAACUACGUG
RNAcentral lists this ribosomal RNA (490 nucleotides) under uncultured bacterium. Its description in RNAcentral is "partial 16S ribosomal RNA". It matches the Rfam family "Bacterial small subunit ribosomal RNA", at positions 30 to 507 of the family's 1533-position model. The record is from RNAcentral.